This 494-nucleotide ribosomal RNA is filed under the name uncultured bacterium. RNAcentral describes it as "partial 16S ribosomal RNA". It matches the Rfam family "Bacterial small subunit ribosomal RNA", at positions 28 to 507 of the family's 1533-position model. The record is from RNAcentral.
GACGAACGCUGGCGGCGUGCUUAACACAUGCAAGUCGAACGGUGAAGCGCCUUCCUUUUUGGUGGGUGUGGAUGAGUGGCGAACGGGUGAGUAACACGUGAGUAACCUGCCCCCUUCUUCUGGAUAACCGCAUGAAAGUGUGGCUAAUACGGGAUAUUCUGGGUCUGUCGCAUGAUGGGUCUGGGAAAGAUAUUGUUUCGGUGGGGGAUGGGCUCGCGGCCUAUCAGCUUGUUGGUGGGGUGAUGGCCUACCAAGGCGGUGACGGGUAGCCGGCCUGAGAGGGUGGACGGUCACACUGGGACUGAGACACGGCCCAGACUCCUACGGGAGGCAGCAGUGGGGAAUAUUGCACAAUGGGCGCAAGCGUGAUGCAGCGACGCCGCGUGAGGGAUGGAGGCCUUCGGGUUGUGAACCUCUUUCGCCAGUGAAGCAGGCCUGCCUCGUUUGUGGGUGGGUUGACGGUAGCUGGAUAAGAAGCGCCGGCUAACUACGUG